Molecule: ribosomal RNA, 253 nt
Filed under: uncultured bacterium
Lineage: Bacteria
Description: partial 16S ribosomal RNA
Rfam family: Bacterial small subunit ribosomal RNA
Source: RNAcentral
UACGGAGGGUGCAAACGUUGCUCGGAAUUAUUGGGCGUAAAGCGCACGUAGGCGGUCUAGCAAGUCGGGGGUGAAAUACUUCAGCUUAACUGGAGAAGUGCCUUCGAUACUGGUGGGCUUGAGGGAGGUAGGGGUCUUUGGAACUUCUGGUGGAGCGGUGAAAUGCGUUGAUAUCAAGAGGAACACCAGUGGCGAAGGCGAGUCCCUGGACGAUACCUGACACUGAGGCACGAAAGCCGGGGGAGCAAACAGG